RNAcentral lists this ribosomal RNA (453 nucleotides) under Streptomyces asiaticus. RNAcentral describes it as "bacterial SSU rRNA". It matches the Rfam family "Bacterial small subunit ribosomal RNA", at positions 12 to 479 of the family's 1533-position model. Lineage: Bacteria; Bacillati; Actinomycetota; Actinomycetes; Kitasatosporales; Streptomycetaceae. The record is from RNAcentral.
UUUGGACGUGGCUCAGGACGAACGCUGGCGGCGUGCUUAACACAUGCAAGUCGAACGAUGAACCGGUUUCGGCCGGGGAUUAGUGGCGAACGGGUGAGUAACACGUGGGCAAUCUGCCCUGCACUCUGGGACAAGCCCUGGAAACGGGGUCUAAUACCGGAUACGACGCGUUCCCGCAUGGGAUACGUGUGGAAAGCUCCGGCGGUGCAGGAUGAGCCCGCGGCCUAUCAGCUUGUUGGUGGGGUGAUGGCCUACCAAGGCGACGACGGGUAGCCGGCCUGAGAGGGCGACCGGCCACACUGGGACUGAGACACGGCCCAGACUCCUACGGGAGGCAGCAGUGGGGAAUAUUGCACAAUGGGCGCAAGCCUGAUGCAGCGACGCCGCGUGAGGGAUGACGGCCUUCGGGUUGUAAACCUCUUUCAGCAGGGAAGAAGCGUGAGUGACGGUACC